UUGGAGGGCAAGUCUGGUGCCAGCAGCCGCGGUAAUUCCAGCUCCAAUAGCGUAUAUUAAAGUUGUUGCAGUUAAAGAGCUCGUAGUUGAAUUUCGGGAUCAGCAAGUUGGUCGUGCCUCUGGUACGUACUGGCUUUACUGGUUCCUCCUUCUUGAAGAACUGUAAUGUCAUUAAUUUGGUGUUGCAGGGAAACAGGACUGUUACUUUGAAAAAAUUAGAGUGUUUAAAGCAAGCUAACGCUUGAAUACAUUAGCAUGGAAUAAUGAAAUAGGACGUUUGAUCCUAUUUUGUUGGUUUCUAGGAUUGACGUAAUGAUUAAUAGGGAUAGUUGGGGGCAUUAGUAUUCAAUUGUCAGAGGUGAAAUUCUUGGAUUUAUUGAAGACUAACUACUGCGAAAGCAUUUGCCAAGGAUGUUUUCAUUAAUCAAGAACGAAAGUUAGGGGAUCGAAGACGAUCAGAUACCGUCGUAGUCUUAACCAUAAACUAUGCCGACUAGGGAUCGGAUGAUGUUAAUUUUUUAAUGACUCAUUCGGCGCCUUACGGGAAAC
Molecule: ribosomal RNA, 549 nt
Filed under: uncultured Glomeromycotina
Lineage: Eukaryota; Fungi; Glomeromycota
Description: SSU rRNA
Rfam family: Eukaryotic small subunit ribosomal RNA
Source: RNAcentral